RNAcentral lists this ribosomal RNA (301 nucleotides) under uncultured bacterium. Its description in RNAcentral is "partial 16S ribosomal RNA". It matches the Rfam family "Bacterial small subunit ribosomal RNA", at positions 509 to 807 of the family's 1533-position model. The record is from RNAcentral.
CAGUCGCCGCGGUAAUACGAAGGGGGCUAGCGUUGCUCGGAAUCACUGGGCGUAAAGGGUGCGUAGGCGGGUCUUUAAGUCAGGGGCGAAAUCCUGGAGCUCAACUCCAGAACUGCCUUUGAUACUGAAGAUCUUGAGUUCGGGAGAGGUGAGUGGAACUGCGAGUGUAGAGGUGAAAUUCGUAGAUAUCCGCAAGAACACCAGUGGCGAAGGCGGCUCACUGGCCCGAUACUGACGCUGAGGCACGAAAGCGUGGGGAGCAAACAGGAUUAGAUACCCCGGUAGUCCCUGUCUCUUAUAC